Anneissia japonica is the source of this 1476-nucleotide long non-coding RNA. RefSeq lists it as uncharacterized. The record is from RefSeq and is a predicted model, not a curated record. The transcript has 4 exons. Lineage: Eukaryota; Metazoa; Echinodermata; Crinoidea; Comatulida; Comatulidae.
CAAAACAAAAAAUGCCUAACAGAGAAGGGAAAUUCCCAACAAGUAAUAGAUAGUGAAGCAACCAUUCUUGAACACCGAAACAGCUUGAUACAGUUUCAUUGUAAAAAGUAAUUAAACACACUGCAAAAAUGCAAGCAUCAGUUGCAUUAACAAGAGCAAGGGAUCUUGACAAGAAGAAGCGGUACACAGAAGCGGUAAAAUAUUAUCAGGAAGGGAUACAGCUGUUACACAACGAUUUAAAAAUAGAACCCUCCGCCGACGUUGUAGGCGAAACAUGUACCAGUACACACUCACCAUCUGCUACUGCUGGUGGUGGUGGAAAGGAGUUAGACUGGCACUGUGCCUAGAUGAUGAUGGUACCGACAGUGCCUGUUCUGACGUAAAGGUCUUAUACAUAAAGAAAAAAAUGUCCCUAAACUUUAAUUGGAUGCAGUCAAGACCUCGUAAUAAUGAAGAUUCUGUUCUGUGUUUGGAAUGGCGAUUCUGGGAAUAGUCCAGUCGGCCGGGUACUUGAUCAGCUGAUCGCCACUAACUUCAAUGAAGGAUAUAUCUCUUUGCUAUAGACAUUGAAAUGCUAAUGCAUAUACAGUAGGUGUGUCAGUUGAAUGAACUGGACAAUACAGCAUAUAUAAUACACAGUAAUUCAAAUUAGAUGAAAACAAAUAUUCUGCAAAUCAUGGAAGGUGAUUUGAUAAUGAAAAGUGAUAGACUUGCCACCUGGUAGAGAAGCACCAAAUCCUGUAGACCAAACCAAGUACUGUUUUUAUUUUAAUCAUAUGAUAAUUUAUUCAUAACCCUUCCUCUAUAGUAAAUGUCUGUAAAUCAGUGAAAACCAUUUUUUUUUUUUGCUGAAGCACUGAAAUGUAUCAUUAUGUAUAUGAUAAAACAUUAUAUGAUCAAGAAAUAAAGUUUGAAAUAUAGAAUCAUUAUAUCUACAAUCAUUUUUAAAUACCAUGACAGCAGUGUAUAUUAAUCCAAAUUCAGUGCUUAGUUUUAAUUGUGUGUGAAGUAAUAAUAAACAGUAUUCAUAAGUAAAUUGUUUAUUCAUGCAGUGUAGCCUCUUUUUACAGAUUAGAUAUAAUUAUUAAUAUAUUGCAAAAUAAAUCUGAUAGCUAUGUAGAUCAUAAUUACAUGGAUUGAUCAUGUUUUCCUUUUUUGUGUAUUUGUUUUAUGUAUGACCAAAUAAUAAUAGAUUGUUAAUAUUUAUUUUGUCUAGUGUUAUCCAUUUUUAAACUGAGUUGCAUACUUACCCACUGUGCAAGAGUAAUAUAUUUAUUUUUAAAAAAACAUUUGAUACUGAUUGCUAAGAUGAGAGAGAUAAAAUCAAUACUGUAGGCGUAUCUUUCUCAAAAUAAUAAUGAUCAGACCGAGGUGAAGCACAUUUAGCAUGAAUUUAUGCAAGGUGUAACCAAUAGCGUGCUUAAAUUAUCCAGGUGGUUAGCCAAUCAGGAGCGUUUUAAUAAUAACAUGUGGCCC